AGAGAGAGACAUGCGCGCAUAUCAAUAAGCGGAGGAAAAGAAACUAACAAGGAUUCCCUUAGUAACGGCGAGUGAAGCGGGAAGAGCUCAAAUUUGAAAUCUUCAAGGUUCUACCUUGACGAAUUGUAGUUUAUAGAAGUGUUUUCUGUUAGUGGAGUUUGGUAAAAGUUCUUUGGAAUAGGACAUCAUAGAGGGUGAGAAUCCCGUAUUUGGUCAUUCCUCCUAGCGUUGUGAUACACUUUCAACGAGUCGGAUUGUUUGGGAAUGCAGUCCAAAAUGGGUGGUAAAUUUCAUCUAAAGCUAAAUAUUGGCGAGAGACCGAUAGCGAACAAGUACCGUGAGGGAAAGAUGAAAAGAACUUUGAAAAGAGAGUUAAACAGUACGUGAAAUUGUCAAAAGGGAAGCGUUUGACACCAGUGUUGUUUUCUCGAAAAUCAAUUACAAAUGGUUUGGAUUUUGAUGUAGUUAUGACUUCAUCAGCUUUCUGCACUUUCUUUACUAUCUUUCUUAAUGCACUUUUCGUUUAACAAGUCAACAUCAAUUUCUUUUGUUGUAAAAGGGUACGAGGAAGGUGGCUUUCUUUUCGGAGAAAGUGUUUAUAGCCUUGUACCUCUGCAAUCGGAGAGAUUGAGGUCUGCAGCGUAGAUCCUUCGGGGUUAGAUACAUUUGUGCUAAGUUAUAGCUUUUCAUAGACAUCUUGUUGACUAUGUUUAGUCUUGUAGCUUACUCGCUUAUGCUAUUUUACCUACGCUUAGGAUGUUGAUCUGUAGUGCGUGCGC
RNAcentral lists this ribosomal RNA (779 nucleotides) under uncultured Neocallimastigales. RNAcentral describes it as "partial large subunit ribosomal RNA". It matches the Rfam family "Eukaryotic large subunit ribosomal RNA", at positions 23 to 634 of the family's 3401-position model. The record is from RNAcentral. Lineage: Eukaryota; Fungi; Neocallimastigomycota; Neocallimastigomycetes; Neocallimastigales.